This 848-nucleotide long non-coding RNA is filed under the name Salmo salar (Atlantic salmon). RNAcentral's name for it is "lncRNA (ENSSSAG00000111871.1)". The record is from RNAcentral. Lineage: Eukaryota; Metazoa; Chordata; Actinopteri; Salmoniformes; Salmonidae.
UUGUGUUCAUUCCCUCAAUCUCUCUGUGUUCAAGCUCUCUCUCUGUCCCUAGCUCUACAUCUCUGUGUUGAUCUCUUUUGUUUUGAAACUACAUGUCACUUUCUCCAUCCCACCUACUGCUGGGCCAAAGGGAUUCGUAACACCUCCCCUCAGCAGCCUCAUGUGUUUAAUACUGAGCUGGAGGAGAUUCCAAGGCUGUGAUGCUUCGAGUUUCCACUGCCAUCUACUGGGUCAAUGUGGCAACUGCACACAGUUGUCUAUUUUCCCUCGUAACAUGUGCUGCUGAUGAGCUGGUUGCUGACAGGCGGGACCUGGGGCUGGCUGAGGGUCAAUCUCAUCCUCUUCUUCCAACUCACUGUCAGACUCCGAAUUGACAGAGACAUGAUCCUCAUAUUCGGAAAGUGGAAGACGCUCCUUCCACAUUAGCUUCUCUCUCUGCAGAAAUUAUUUCCAAGGUCCUCUCUGAGCAGAGAUUAUUUUUUGCCGUACUGUUCGAUUGUGGUAAGAAGCCACACAUGCAAAGCUAUUUAUUUGUUUGUGUCCCUUCCUUAAUUAACACCUGGCUGGGAUAGUGUGGGAAAAUACUGACUUUUUUUUACAAUGUAUCGAAAUAACAUUGUGCAGGUUCCUGCAAGACGUUGUGUAGUUUCACUACAAAGGGUAAAGAGUGGGAGAAAGGCAGGGAGACAGACAGACAGACAGGCAGGGAGACAGACAGACAGGCAGGGAGACAGACAGACAGGCAGGGAGACAGACAGACAGGCAGGGAGACAGACAGACAGGCAGGGAGACAGACAGACAGACAGGGAGACAGACAGACAGGCAGGCAGGGAGACGGGCAGGGAGAC